This 445-nucleotide ribosomal RNA is filed under the name uncultured bacterium. RNAcentral's name for it is "bacterial SSU rRNA". It matches the Rfam family "Bacterial small subunit ribosomal RNA", at positions 28 to 456 of the family's 1533-position model. The record is from RNAcentral.
GAUGAACGCUGGCGGCGUGCUUAACACAUGCAAGUCGAACGGGAAAUACUUUAUUGAAACUUUGGUGGAUUUAAUUUAUUUCUAGUGGCGGACGGGUGAGUAACGCGUGGGUAACCUGCCUUAUACUGGGGGAUAACAGCCAGAAAUGACUGCUAAUACCGCAUAAGCGCACAGAACCGCAUGGUUCCGUGUGAAAAACUCCGGUGGUAUAAGAUGGACCCGCGUUGGAUUAGCUAGUUGGCAGGGCAGCGGCCUACCAAGGCGACGAUCCAUAGCCGGCCUGAGAGGGUGAACGGCCACAUUGGGACUGAGACACGGCCCAGACUCCUACGGGAGGCAGCAGUGGGGAAUAUUGCACAAUGGGGGAAACCCUGAUGCAGCGACGCCGCGUGAAGGAAGAAGUAUCUCGGUAUGUAAACUUCUAUCAGCAGGGAAGAUAAUGACG